RNAcentral lists this long non-coding RNA (1247 nucleotides) under Pan troglodytes (chimpanzee). Its description in RNAcentral is "long non-coding RNA NONPTRT016311". Lineage: Eukaryota; Metazoa; Chordata; Mammalia; Primates; Hominidae. The record is from RNAcentral.
CCCGGAUGUGAGUGACGGCCCCGGAUGAGGAACUCGGAUGAGGAACUCGGAGGAGGAGCUGGGCCCGCGCGUCCAUGAUUCGAAGGCUCGUUUUCGCAGCUUUUCCACGUCUUUUUCCGGUCCCACUGCCCUCCAUGCUAACUCACUGGGCGUCUCUAGCCGUUAUACCAACAAUGACUACGACCAGUGUUGGGAAAGCGCCCCCGGGGCCCCUCCCUGACGCCAGCCCAUCCUUGAGACUCCCUGCAAGGAGGCGGCCCGACCCAGUGGGAUAGCAAAACCUGAUCUCAUAAAACCUAGGUCACAAAGGACAGCCCUGCAAAACAGACCCUAUUUGGAUCAAGUGAACCAGUUCCUGGAACCUGAAUAAUGACUCCUGAAUCAAGGGAUACUACAGAUUUGUCUCCAGGGGGUACCCAGGAGAUGGAAGGCAUCGUGAUAGUGAAGGUGGAGGAGGAAGAUGAAGAAGACCAUUUUCAAAAGGAAAGAAACAAAGUAGAGUCAUCGCCACAAGUUCUCAGUCGCUCUACAACUAUGAAUGAGAGAGCCUUAUUAUCAUCGUAUUUAGUUGCAUAUAGAGUGGCAAAAGAGAAAAUGGCUCACACAGCGGCUGAAAAAAUUAUCCUUCCAGCAUGUAUGGACAUGGUACGGACAAUUUUUGAUGACAAAUCAGCUGAUAAACUAAGAACUAUACCUCUUAGUGAUAAUACAAUAUCUCGUCGAAUCUGUACGAUUGCAAAACAUUUGGAAGCAAUGCUUAUUACACGGCUGCAGUCCGGUAUAGACUUUGCAAUCCAACUCGAUGAGAGCACUGAUAUUGCAAGUUGUCCCACACUGUUGGUUUAUGUCAGAUAUGUGUGGCAAGAUGAUUUUGUAGAGGAUCUCUUAUGUUGUUUAAAUUUAAAUUCACAUAUAACUGGAUUAGAUUUAUUUACUGAAUUAGAAAACUGCCUUGUUGGUCAGUAUAAAUUAAACUGGAAACAUUGUAAAGGAAUUUCAAGUGAUGGAACAGCAAAUAUGACCGGAAAACACAGCAGACUUACUGAAAAAUUGUUAGAAGCAACCCUCAACAAUGCUGUUUGGAAUCACUGUUUUAUUCAUCGAGAAGCUUUGGUAUCCAAAGAAAUUUCACCAAGUCUAAUGGAUGUAUUGAAAAAUGCAGUGAAAAUUGUUAAUUUUAUUAAAGGAAGCUCACUGAAUAGCCGACUUCUCGAAAUAUUUUGUUCAGAGAUUGGAGUGAACCACAC